AAGACUAUAGACCUGCGGAGUACCUGCGGAAGGAUCAUUCAUAAUAAAAGUGAAUUUUUAUGGCACUUUUAAAACAAUCCAUAUCCACCUUGUGUGCAAUGUUUUUUUUUUAUAAUAAACUCAUUUUUUUUUAAAUAUGUUUUGUCUGAAAUAUCUUUUAUGAAUUACUUAAUUCUAAAAUAUAACUUUUAACAAUGGAUCUCU
Molecule: unclassified non-coding RNA, 204 nt
Filed under: soil metagenome
Description: partial contains 5.8S ribosomal RNA, internal transcribed spacer 2, and large subunit ribosomal RNA
Source: RNAcentral